This 541-nucleotide ribosomal RNA is filed under the name uncultured bacterium. RNAcentral's name for it is "bacterial SSU rRNA". It matches the Rfam family "Bacterial small subunit ribosomal RNA", at positions 767 to 1316 of the family's 1533-position model. The record is from RNAcentral.
AGCAAAUAGAUACCCAGGUAGUCCACGCCGUAAACGAUGAAUACUAGGUGUAGGAGGUAUCGACCCCUUCUGUGCCGCAGUUAAACACAAUAAGUAUUCCGCCUGGGGAGUACGAUCGCAAGAUUAAAACUCAAAGGAAUUGACGGGGGCCCGCACAAGCAGCGGAGCAUGUGGUUUAAUUCGAAGCAACGCGAAGAACCUUACCUAGACUUGACAUCUCCUGAAUUACCCUUAACCGGGGAAGCCCUUCGGGGCAGGAAGACAGGUGGUGCAUGGUUGUCGUCAGCUCGUGUCGUGAGAUGUUGGGUUAAGUCCCGCAACGAGCGCAACCCUUAUCAUUAGUUGCUACCAUUAAGUUGAGCACUCUAGUGAGACUGCCACGGUUAACGUGGAGGAAGGUGGGGAUGACGUCAAAUCAUCAUGCCCCUUAUGUCUAGGGCUACACACGUGCUACAAUGGUGAGUACAAAGAGAUGCAAUACCGUGAGGUGGAGCUAAACUCAAAAACUCAUCCCAGUUCGGAUUGUAGGCUGAAACUCGCC